Non-coding RNA from Callithrix jacchus (white-tufted-ear marmoset), 294 nucleotides. Lineage: Eukaryota; Metazoa; Chordata; Mammalia; Primates; Cebidae. The record is from Rfam.
GCCUGGUGCAGUGUUCUAUGCCUGUAGUCCCAGCUAUACUAUUUGGGAGGUUGAGGUAGGAGGUUUGCUUGAGACCAGGAGUUCUGGGCUGUAGUGCUCUAUGCUGAUUGGGUGUCCACAAUAAGUUUGAUAUCAAUAUGGUGACCUCCAGGGAGUGAAGGGCCACCAGAUUUCCUAAGGAGGGAUAAACUGGUCCAGGUUGAACAUGCAACAGGUCAAAACUUGAUAGUGGGAUUGCACCUGUGAAUAUCCACUGCACUACACCCUGGACGGGAUAGCCAGACCCUGUCUCUA